This 253-nucleotide ribosomal RNA is filed under the name uncultured bacterium. RNAcentral's name for it is "partial 16S ribosomal RNA". It matches the Rfam family "Bacterial small subunit ribosomal RNA", at positions 524 to 776 of the family's 1533-position model. The record is from RNAcentral.
UACGGAGGGUGCAAGCGUUAUCCGGAUUCACUGGGUUUAAAGGGUGCGUAGGCGGGUUUGUAAGUCCGUGGUGAAAUCUCUGGGCUUAACCCGGAAACUGCCAUGGAUACUAUGUGUCUUGAAUGUUGUGGAGGUGAGCGGAAUAUGUCAUGUAGCGGUGAAAUGCUUAGAUAUGACAUAGAACACCAAUUGCGAAGGCAGCUCACUACGCAAAUAUUGACGCUGAGGCACGAAAGCGUGGGGAGCAAACAGG